RNAcentral lists this ribosomal RNA (253 nucleotides) under uncultured bacterium. Its description in RNAcentral is "partial 16S ribosomal RNA". It matches the Rfam family "Bacterial small subunit ribosomal RNA", at positions 524 to 776 of the family's 1533-position model. The record is from RNAcentral.
UACGUAGGGCGCAAGCGUUAUCCGGAAUUAUUGGGCGUAAAGAGCUCGUAGGCGGUUUGUCGCGUCUGCCGUGAAAGUCCGGGGCUCAACUCCGGAUCUGCGGUGGGUACGGGCAGACUAGAGUGAUGUAGGGGAGACUGGAAUUCCUGGUGUAGCGGUGAAAUGCGCAGAUAUCAGGAGGAACACCGAUGGCGAAGGUAGGUCUCUGGGCAUUAACUGACGCUGAGGAGCGAAAGCAUGGGGAGCGAACAGG